RNAcentral lists this ribosomal RNA (497 nucleotides) under uncultured bacterium. RNAcentral's name for it is "partial 16S ribosomal RNA". It matches the Rfam family "Bacterial small subunit ribosomal RNA", at positions 28 to 507 of the family's 1533-position model. The record is from RNAcentral.
GACGAACGCUGGCAGCGUGCCUAAUACAUGCAAGUUGAGCGCUGAAGGUUGGUACUUGUACCAACUGGAUGAGCAGCGAACGGGUGAGUAACGCGUGGGGAAUCUGCCUUUGAGCGGGGGACAACAUUUGGAGACGAAUGCUAAUACCGCAUAAAAACUUUAAACACAAGUUUUAAGUUUGAAAGAUGCAAUUGCAUCACUCAAAGAUGAUCCCGCGUUGUAUUAGCUAGUUGGUGAGGUAAAGGCUCACCAAGGCGAUGAUACAUAGCCGACCUGAGAGGGUGAUCGGCCACAUUGGGACUGAGACACGGCCCAAACUCCUACGGGAGGCAGCAGUAGGGAAUCUUCGGCAAUGGACGAAAGUCUGACCGAGCAACGCCGCGUGAGUGAAGAAGGUUUUCGGAUCGUAAAACUCUGUUGGUAGAGAAGAACGUUGGUGAGAGUGGAAAGCUCAUCAAGUGACGGUAACUACCCAGAAAGGGACGGCUAACUACGUG